GACGAACGCUGGCGGCGUGCUUAACACAUGCAAGUCGAACGGAAAGGCCCUGCUUUUGUGGGGUGCUCGAGGGGCGAACGGGUGAGUAACACGUGAGUAACCUGCCCUUGACUUUGGGAUAACUUCAGGAAACUGGGGCUAAUACCGGAUAGGAGCUCCUGAUGCAUGGUGGGGGUGGGAAAGUUUCGGCGGUUGGGGAUGGACUCGCGGCUUAUCAGCUUGUUGGUGGGGUAGUGGCUUACCAAGGCUUUGACGGGUAGCCGGCCUGAGAGGGUGACCGGCCACAUUGGGACUGAGAUACGGCCCAGACUCCUACGGGAGGCAGCAGUGGGGAAUAUUGCACAAUGGGCGGAAGCCUGAUGCAGCAACGCCGCGUGCGGGAUGACGGCCUUCGGGUUGUAAACCGCUUUCGCCUGUGACGAAGCGUGAGUGACGGUAAUGGGUAAAGAAGCACCGGCUAACUACGUGCCAGCAGCCGCCGUAA
Molecule: ribosomal RNA, 484 nt
Filed under: uncultured bacterium
Lineage: Bacteria
Description: partial 16S ribosomal RNA
Rfam family: Bacterial small subunit ribosomal RNA
Source: RNAcentral